This is a long non-coding RNA of Cynara cardunculus var. scolymus (artichoke), 1541 nucleotides long. RefSeq lists it as uncharacterized. The record is from RefSeq and is a predicted model, not a curated record. The transcript has 2 exons. Lineage: Eukaryota; Viridiplantae; Streptophyta; Magnoliopsida; Asterales; Asteraceae.
CUUAUUUCCAAACUUUGAAGAACUCCGUGAACUCCGAUUUCUCCGAUCAAAUCUUCUUCCUCUCUAUAAACGGACGAAGAAGGCGGCCAUUAAUAUAUGUGAAGGUUGCGUGCCUCAUCAUUUCUUUCGCAGGCAGGUGGAGUGUAUACCUCUACUUWGUUCAAGCGAGUUUCUUUAACGAUGAUGAUUUGAAUUUUACAUGUCAUUUUUAGCAUGAAAAGUGACAGUGUUGUUAUAGAAGCUCUGUUAGCAAUGGGCAUCAAGUACCUACAUGAGUAGCAGGAUUUGGUACAUUUAUAUACAAGCCAUAUAAUAUUUCAUACCAAGAGACUAUGUUUGAAAUACAAAAUGGAACAUAGGUGCUUUCUAGAGUUGCGGCACCCUAAUCUUGUGUCUUUGCCUGGCUAUUGUAAUCAUGGAAAAGAGAGAUGCCUGUUUAUGAAUAUAUGCCCAAUGGAACACUUGAAGAUUAUCUCCAUAAACUUGGUACCCCUCUUUCUUGGCUUCAGCAACUCAACAUCUGCAUAGCUGCUGGUCAUGGGUUACACUACCUUUACAUUGGUACAGGGAUUCGGGUUGGGGUUAUACAUCGUGAUGUCAAGAGCUUAGAUAUUAAUAUUAUAUAAUAUAGAAGUUGGGCAACAACAUAUAGGACUUGGGGUUUGUUCAAAAUAGGCCCAACGAAUAAACUAUCAAUUUGUAUCGACACACUUGUUAAAGGUACUUUUGGGUACCCAGAUCUUGAUUAUUAUGCAACUGGAAAGCAGAAAAUCUGAUGUGUAUGCCACUCUGCCUAACACUGAACACAUUAGACUUACUUGUCAGCUUUCGAGUUGUGUAAUAGUUGGGAUCCAGAUACCCAAAAGUACCUUUAUCAUUGUCUUGAUAUAAGUGGAUGGCUGAUUAGUUGGCCUUGACAAMCCAAAGUCCGGAAGUUUUUGCUGCCCAACUUUCAUUUAACAAAAUAUUUGAGCUYUUGAYAUCACGAUGUAUAACCCCAAUCAAAAUUUGCGGUCAUUUUCUUGGAAGUGCUUUGUUGGAAGCAUGUAGUGGAUACACUCUUGAUGUGGACUGCUGGAGUUUAGCAAGAUAGGCUUAAGAAUUUAUUGAAGAAGACAAUCUAAAGCAUAUCAUUGGUUCUGGUAUAAGGGGUCAAAUAUCCCCAAAAUGUUUGAAGCAGUUUGUUCUAAUUGCAGAGAGAUGUUUGCAUGGCAAUCCAAAACAGCUCUACCAUACACAGGUUGUGGCCUGUACACUGACCUUACCUGAGAAAUUCAGUAAUUCAUUGCAAAAUGCAGACAUGAUAAUAUUUGGUAGAAUGGCUGGUAUGAUUCCCUUUCCCUUCAAAGGAGAAAACUCUGGUAUUUUAAGCUCCUCUAGAAUUGCAUGUAAUAUUCUGUGAAUUUGUGUGUGAUCAUCUUCACAUAUAAUAGCAGAAUUUCAAUGAAGACAUUGAAAUGCCAUCUCUCAGCAUUAAAAAGAACAAGGGUACUACUAGUUAUUUAGUUGCAUCAAUCAGAUGAUAGAUUUCUUUCCAUUUC